Molecule: long non-coding RNA, 1182 nt
Filed under: Homo sapiens (human)
Lineage: Eukaryota; Metazoa; Chordata; Mammalia; Primates; Hominidae
Description: HSALNT0269513
Source: RNAcentral
CUGUCCCUCGAUCUGCGAUCACUUCGUAGCUAUCCAUUCUCCACGUUGAGUCCAGAACCAUCUAUGGAAUCAUGAAUAGCAGCCAAUCACAGUGAGCCUCACUAACUUCCAGGUUGCCACGGGGCUGCAAGCGAGGCAGCUGUUGAAGGGGUGACAGCCAGAGCUCCUCGGGCCACUGCCGUGACAACAGAAAGGGAGAAGGACUUUUCCUCAGAGACUAUAAACUGAAUGCUUGUACCCCCAGUGUGAUGGGAUUUGGAGAUGAAGCUUUUGGGGGAUGACCAGGGUUAGAUGUCAGGAGGCCCUGGUCUGAUGUGAUGGGAGUGGUGCCCUUCUUAGCAGGGACACCGACCAGAGCGUUUGCUCGUUGAUGCCCUACCUCCGUGCACACCGAGGAAAGGCUGUGUGAGCCACAGUGAGAAGGCGGCCAUCUGUAAGCCAGGAAGAGGGCCUGCGCCAGAACCUGACCAUCUUGACACCUGGACCUUGGACUUCCAGCCUCCAGAAUGGUGAAAAUAUAUAUUUCUGUUGUUUAAGCCACCCAGUUUACGGUAUUUUGCUACAGCAGCCGAAGUAGGCUAAUACAGAGACCCCCACCCAACCCUGCAACUCUCUCCACAUAGUCCGGUGGGGCUGAGCCUGGCUCUGUCCACGGGUGAACUGGGCAGAGAGUAUUGCAUCCUCCCACCCCCACGAGCAGGGAUGGACAAGCCUGGGUCAAAGAUGGCUCAAGGAUGGACACCUGACCCAGGCCAAGUUCAUCAGAGUCAAUACCACUCAGUCCCAGAAUUCCUUUUGGAAGUCUUUUGAGAGGCAACUCUCUCUGCUGGGGUUAUUAGGAGCUUUGGACAUACCUGGAGCUCCAGACCACCAUCUUUCUGGGAAAGUGCCUGCCUGAAAAGGAGACAACACAGAGAAAGGCACUAUUUGAACACCUGGACACAGCCUUGCCUGAAUGAAGCCAUCUACUCUGCACAUUUCAGUAUCAUCAAUAUUUUCUUAGCUAUGUUCCAAAGACCCACAUUGGCUUGAAUAGAACCUUAACAAUUGUGUGAUCCAGUGGCCCUACUUACAGGUGGGAGACCUAGACGGCAGUUGGCUCUCAGUAGAAGAUUCCAUCCAAGUGCCCACAGGAAUGGUGGUGAGAAAAUGGAGGCUCAGAGAAGGAUAAAUCACUUCCUC